RNAcentral lists this ribosomal RNA (374 nucleotides) under uncultured organism. RNAcentral's name for it is "bacterial SSU rRNA". It matches the Rfam family "Bacterial small subunit ribosomal RNA", at positions 526 to 897 of the family's 1533-position model. The record is from RNAcentral.
CGUAGGUGGCGAGCGUUGUCCGGAAUUACUGGGUGUAAAGGGCGUGUAGGCGGGAAUGCAAGUCAGAUGUGAAAUGCCGAGGCUUAACCUCGGAGCUGCAUCUGAAACUGUGUUUCUUGAGUGUCGGAGAGGAAAGUGGAAUUCCCAGUGUAGCGGUGAAAUGCGUAGAUAUUGGGAGGAACACCAGUGGCGAAGGCGACUUUCUGGACGAUAACUGACGCUGAGGCGCGAAAGCGUGGGGAGCAAACAGGAUUAGAUACCCUGGUAGUCCACGCCGUAAACGAUGGAUACUAGGUGUAGGAGGUAUCGACCCCUUCUGUGCCGCAGUUAACACAAUAAGUAUCCCACCUGGGGGAGUACGGCCGCAAGGUUAG